Molecule: ribosomal RNA, 754 nt
Filed under: uncultured Actinomyces sp.
Lineage: Bacteria; Bacillati; Actinomycetota; Actinomycetes; Actinomycetales; Actinomycetaceae
Description: bacterial SSU rRNA
Rfam family: Bacterial small subunit ribosomal RNA
Source: RNAcentral
GACGAACGCUGGCGGCGUGCUUAACACAUGCAAGUCGAACGCUGAAGCCCAGCUUGCUGGGUGGAUGAGUGGCGAACGGGUGAGUAACACGUGAGUAACCUGCCCCCUUCUUUGGGAUAACGCCCGGAAACGGGUGCUAAUACUGGAUAUUCACUGAUCUUCGCAUGGGGGUUGGUGGAAAGGUUUUUUCUGGUGGGGGAUGGGCUCGCGGCCUAUCAGCUUGUUGGUGGGGUGAUGGCCUACCAAGGCUUUGACGGGUAGCCGGCCUGAGAGGGUGACCGGUCACAUUGGGACUGAGAUACGGCCCAGACUCCUACGGGAGGCAGCAGUGGGGAAUAUUGCACAAUGGGCGAAAGCCUGAUGCAGCGACGCCGCGUGAGGGAUGACGGCCUUCGGGUUGUAAACCUCUUUCGCUCAUGGUCAAGCCGCAACUGUGGGUUGUGGUGAGGGUAGUGGGUAAAGAAGCGCCGGCUAACUACGUGCCAGCAGCCGCGGUAAUACGUAGGGCGCGAGCGUUGUCCGGAAUUAUUGGGCGUAAAGGGCUUGUAGGCGGUUGGUCGCGUCUGCCGUGAAAUCCUCUGGCUUAACUGGGGGCGUGCGGUGGGUACGGGCUGACUUGAGUGCGGUAGGGGAGACUGGAACUCCUGGUGUAGCGGUGGAAUGCGCAGAUAUCAGGAAAGAACACCGGUGGCGAAGGCGGGUCUCUGGGCCGUUACUGACGCUGAGGAGCGAAAAGCGUGGGGAGCGAAACAGG